RNAcentral lists this ribosomal RNA (490 nucleotides) under uncultured bacterium. Its description in RNAcentral is "partial 16S ribosomal RNA". It matches the Rfam family "Bacterial small subunit ribosomal RNA", at positions 30 to 507 of the family's 1533-position model. The record is from RNAcentral.
AUUGAACGCUGGCGGCAGGCCUAACACAUGCAAGUCGAACGGUAACAGGAAACAGCUUGCUGUUUCGCUGCCGAGUGGCGGACGGGUGAGUAAUGUCUGUGAAACUGCCUGAUGGAGGGGGAUAACUACUGGAAACGGUAUCUAAUACCGCAUAACGUCUCAAGCCCAAAGAGGGGGACCCUCGGGCCUCUUGCCAUCGGAUGUGCCCCGAUGUGAUUAGCUUGUUGGUGGGGUAACGGCUCACCAAGGCGACGAUCCCUAGCUGGUCUGAGAGGAUGACCAGCCACACUGGAAGUGAGACACGGUCCAGACUCCUACGGGAGGCAGCAGUGGGGAAAAUUGCACAAUGGGCGGAAGUCUGAGGAAGCCAUGCCGCGUGUAUGAAGAAGGGAUUCGAGUUGUAAAGUAGUUGAAGCGGGGAGGAAGGGAGUAAAGGUAAGACAUAUGCUGAUUGACGUUGGCCGAAGAAGAAGCAAAGGCAAACUCCGUG